ACAUAUUUAAACAUUCCUAUACGAGGAUGAUCAUAUGCAAGUUAUAAAGGGGGAGCGAUAGACAAUUUACAUAGGUAGUCUUACUACAUAGCCUAUCCAAUGGCAUUCGGCUGCAGAGUGUUUUCCACCUCCCAACUUCUCGUCCUGCCACAUAAAGAGUUGUCAACAAUCAAUAAGAUAGUAAUAGCAAACCCAUAGGAAUAAGAAAUACCUAAAUAAACAUAAACCUUAUACGAGUCCACACUUUACAAAGGAUAAAAUGCCAACAACUGGCAUGUGAACAGUUCAUCCUCAUUUAAAACCACAAUGGUGUAUGCAUAUACUGCAUAAUGACUGGUUAGUUAAAAACUUGUAUGCCAGAGUCGACAAAUUGCUUCAGUGAUGUUAGCUCAUACUAAGAAGACCAGAAAAAAAAAAGCAUAAAGAUGCACUUUUGAGGUCAGAGGGAUUAGUCAUUCUGAACAAAAGUCAUAUAGGUUGAAGAACAGCCAAAUCAACCAGCACGAUAUGUGGAGCUCAUAGAAACUCAAGCAUAACAGAAAAUGUGAAAAAUCUCUAGUAAAAUGGUAUUAUACAACUGAGUUUGGAGUGACCUUGUCUGUGAAAGCUGCCCCCAAUUCAUCAAUUGGCGGGAAUGUGGAUGCCCACCAUCCUCGGUUGCUAAAAGCCCUGAGCAGCUAGAAGUUGUUGGAGGGGACCAAACAGGAACAACGCCACUGUCUCUUUCCCUCCAACUACCAGAUGAUGGCCCUAUGGAAUGUUCAGGCAUCUCCAACCUGGUUGGGUUGAAAUGUUGAGUUACAUUAUCUCUGACGGUAUGCAUGCCAGCCUGAUCAGUGGGUUCUCUUUGAGGCAGCAGACCGUAAG
Molecule: long non-coding RNA, 867 nt
Filed under: Musa acuminata (dwarf banana)
Lineage: Eukaryota; Viridiplantae; Streptophyta; Magnoliopsida; Zingiberales; Musaceae
Description: long non-coding RNA (MACU_LNC002993)
Source: RNAcentral